RNAcentral lists this ribosomal RNA (253 nucleotides) under uncultured bacterium. RNAcentral describes it as "partial 16S ribosomal RNA". It matches the Rfam family "Bacterial small subunit ribosomal RNA", at positions 524 to 776 of the family's 1533-position model. The record is from RNAcentral.
UACGCAGGGUGCAAGCGUUACUCGGAAUUACUGGGCGUAAAGCGUGCGUAGGUGGUUUGUUAAGUCUGAUGUGAAAGCCCUGGGCUCAACCUGGGAAUUGCAUUGGAUACUGGCAGGCUAGAGUGCGGUAGAGGAUGGCGGAAUUCCCGGUGUAGCAGUGAAAUGCGUAGAGAUCGGGAGGAACAUCUGUGGCGAAGGCGGCACUCUGGGCCGAUACUGACACUGAGGAGCGAAAGCGUGGGGAGCGAACAGG